Long non-coding RNA from Carassius carassius (crucian carp), 1356 nucleotides. RefSeq lists it as uncharacterized. The transcript is spliced from 4 exons. The record is from RefSeq and is a predicted model, not a curated record. Lineage: Eukaryota; Metazoa; Chordata; Actinopteri; Cypriniformes; Cyprinidae.
AUUGUCCCAGACAAGAGUCACCGGCACUUCAUCACUGAUUUUUUCAGGGAUGUAUAUUUCUCCCCUCUCCAUUUGUAGAUGAGCAAGGGCAGUAUCAUGCUCAAGGACCUGGGAAUUAGAUGAGCAGUGACCCAGACCAUUUAACAGCCCUAUAAGCUGUGCAGAGCCAGUCAUAUGCCGAACUGCCAUUGCAAUGACAUCAACACGUUCAUCUGAUGGUUGUGAUGACAUUCCUGAUAUCCAUGCAAUGAAGUUAAAAAGUUGGUGAGGCACUACACUCAUGCCAUUUUCCAGUGUGAGAUCACUUGCUGUUGGAGGCCAUGGUAGCUUUGGAUGAGGAGGAAGCAGAGGAGACGGCAACUUCAUGCACAAUUUCGUCAGCUGACAGAUUGUCCACAUAUACAAGAUACCGGGUAUAAUCUCGAUAGCAAGUGAAGUGAUACCGUGCUUCACUAGCCACCAAGUCCCUGUCUUGGAUAUGGAGAAGGAGAGACUCGUCCCUUUUCCCUUCAGCGGCGAGUAGCAAUUUCCCGGCAUGGAGUGUUUCACACUGUGUUAGCUUUUCUUUUACCCUUUUCCUACUGUGUGACUGAACCUUGUACUUCUCAUGUUUGCAUAUAAUGCAUUGUACUGGAAGCAGGUGUGGGGCCCGCUUGAACGUGCAGGAAUCACGGGCGUAAGAUCUCAGAGCCCGUGUUUUAACUGGAGUUGCAUCACCAUCCUCUGCCUCUACCACUAAAAGUGCAAAACAAUAGAUUUAGGUUCUGCACCCUUCCCCACAUUACUGAUUAAAGAAAAAUGGUUUGUAACUUUCGGCAGGGUAUAUUGGUUCCACCUGUUCCCUUAACAUGGGUAAUAAACCUGUUUCACAGCUUUCAGGUGUCCGUCCUUGUUGAUGUUAAUGAGGCCAUAAUAGGAAAGGUUCAUUUUUGCAGGGUGUUUUUAUUAUAUUAGUUAAUUCAUUGUGUAGCUAUAUUAAGUUAACUCAAAUCUAAACUCCCUGAAGUCCUAGACUCAAUUAAACCUACUUCCUUCAUAUCUUUCUUUUUUCUAUCUAUCCUUCUUUCUAGAUUUCUUUCUAACCUUUUCUUUUUUUUUCUUAUCUAUUUCUUUUUUUCUUUCUACCUGUCUAUUGAACUUUAUUGCCUUAACUUUUGGGCUAGGCUUUAAGCCAACUUAAAAGUUUGCCAAAACAUUUCAAGUAGUUUUUUGAACUAAUCUUAUGUUGUUACUGCAACUACACUGCACAUAUCUGUAUGUGUUGUUCAUACUGUAUAUCUAUUCUGCUCUUAUAUAAUAUUUAAUUUAUAUUACUGUAAAUACUACUUUCUUAACUGUAUAUUACUGUCCAUUCUG